CGCGGGCGUGGGAGGGAGAGGGGCUGCGAGUGAGCGCGGAGAGGGGUGUGCGCAAGGUGGACCGGAUGUGAGUGCGCUGCUGCCAGGGCAAGCGGGAAGGUGUGUCCCGGAGCCAGGAAAUGAAAUUCUACAGGAGGGAGAAGAAUGGCGGGAUUCAGAGGUGAGGAGGCAGAAGAAGAUUCCAAGCUCUGGACCUCUGGGGGCCACUGGGAGAGUUGAAGGUUUGAUCGCGGAUAUGUUGGGUUUUGUGAAGGCGUUGGGGCGCGGGUGCGGGGAGUGUCCUUGGGUGGAGAAGUCACGAAUGUAGGAAUGGAACAAGUUCGGGUCUCCUGACUGGGUCGUGAAGUAGUAUUGUCUUUCCCAAGCUUUCCUGUUGAUGAGCGGCGUGGAGAGAAUGGGGCUUGCUGGAUUUUGUAUUUUCCGCAAGUACUCCCAGGUGAUUCUGGUCUGGUAAACACUGUUGGAGUGGAAGGCCUAUCUGCCCCGGACUCAGACCUUCUCUCUGCCCCCAUCUUUGUGCCCUGAGAUGUUCCAGCAUUCUCGAGCCUAAGUUUCUUCAUCUAUAAGGAGAUAAAAUAACCAGUCCUCGCAGGGCUGUUGUGAGGGCUACAAGAAGGAUAACUGCCUAGCGUGUUGAGACAUGGGUGGUCAGACACUUAAUGCCUGUUUCUCUUCUUUCCCCCAGGAAUUCAUGAACUUUUAAAAUACUUUAUUCUACAGAAGGAGAUCUUCUUAACUAAUUAGGUAUCCAGAGGAGAAAGUAAUGAAUCCAUUUUCACCUAGAUAUUUGCAGUUAUUUGAAUUCUGGCUUUUGUCUCAAGUAUUCACAUAUUUUUUUCUCUCUCUAGAAAAAGAAUCGGAUUUUACUGCUCCAGGAGUUGAGAAUGAACUUGGUUACUAAUCCCCAAAGUAAUAGAUAAACUAGGUGUGGAUGCUUCUUUACUAAAUUGUAUCAGAGAAUCACAAAUGAACAUGACUUGUGCAUGCAUAAACCUCAGCAGACUGAACUAACCAUCUUUAGAUUAUUUACACAUGUGCUCCUAAUUGAUAUGGUCACCUUUAUAUUAUAGGACAGCAUAUUUGCUUAUUAUUCACAGGUACAUGUAAAGGAGAAACGAGAGUGGCAGGAAUAGUUGGCCUCAUUCCUCUCCAACAGAGAAAUAAUUGCUCUUUGCUGCAGUUGUCAGCUGUCCUGCUGGAAUUUUGGAAACAGCAGGGCUGCAGAAGGAGGGCUUGAACUGUAAGUGUGAUGGAGGGCAUGCUUCCACUACACCCCUGGUUUGCAGCAUCUACAGUGCCUUAUCUUAGAAUGCAGAGUUAUUUUUCACAUGAUAGAGAAGGGGUUGGGGACCUUUGAAGACAAUAGGGGACAGCCUCCAAGUGCAAAGUCAGAAAUUCAGAGGCCUUGCUCCUGCCAGGCAAAACUUAUUUUCUACCUGUUUUCUCUCGAGUUCCCCUACUUAUCCCUCCCCCAGAGAGCUGAAACAGAGACCAUCUUGAUUGAUCUAGACUUGGUUUACACCUGAUAAGCCAAGAUUUUAUGAAUGUUUAACAGAGGUCAGAAAUUUGGAGAAAAUCUUAUAGUAGGCAUAUUACCUUUUAAAGCAUGAAUUAACUAAUGUUUUCCUCAAGAGUUUCAAAGGCAGUACAGAUCCUCAUUGUUUCCCAGCGAUUCUUUUGGGCAAGACAGUGAUAAGGUGGCUGGGACAAGCUUUCUUAAUCCUUCUUUUCAGGUAAGAAAACUGAAGCUCAGGAAAGUAUAAUUUUUUCUUAAUCACAUGGAGGGCCUGAAACACACCUGGAAAAAACAUUUUAGUCUAACAACAAAGAGUUCAUAAGUGUUAAGUCUUUUUCUUUUCUUUUUUUUUUUUUUUUUUUAAAAAAAGUCUUACUGUCACCCAGGCUGGAGUGUGGUGGGGUGAUCAUGGCUCACUGCAAUCUCAAACUUCCAGACUCAAGCAGUCCUCCCACCUCAGUCUCCCGAGUAGCUGGGACUACAGAUGCAUGCCACCAUGCCCAGCUAAAAUUUUUUUUAAGAGAUGGGAUCUCACUGUGUUGCCCAGGCUGGUCUCAAACUCUUGAGCUCAAGCGAUCCUUUUGAACCUACAAAGCUAUAGCGGAAUGUUUUUUUGCUCAACUGAUAAUGUAGUCAGUAUAACCAGUGUCUCUAGAUAAUGUGAGAAGUUGAAAGAGAAAGUGAAGCCUAUUUGCUGGAAGGCUGAGGCAAAGCCAACAUUUGGAGGUAAUUCUUAGAAGGUCCUGCACCUGCCUGUGCAUCAGGAAUGAUUUGGUAGUAGGGUAAUGUCCCUUAGACCAGUAGUCCCCAACCAUUUUGGCACCAGGGACCGGUUUCAUGGAAGACUAUUUUUCCACAGACAGGUUGGGGGGUGGUUUCAGGAUGAAACUUCUUCACCUCAAAUCAUCAGGCAUUAGUUAGAUUCUCAUAGGGAGCAUGCAACCUAUCCUCACAUGCGCAGUUCAAAAUAAGGUUCAAGUUCCGAUGAGAAUCUGAUGCCACCGCUGAUCUGACAGGAGGUGGAGCUCAGGCAGUAAUGCUUGCCUGCUCCUCACCUCCUGCUGUGUAGCCGGGUUCCUAACAGGCCACAGUACCAGUCCAUGGCACCAAGGUUGGGGACCCCUGCCUUAGACACCUUUUCUUGAGUUAGCAUAAGAUAAUUGCCUUAUGCCAGUUACUUCAUCUAUUUGAGCUUCAGAUUCCUCAUUUGUAAACUAGCCCAAUUGUUUCCUCACUAUAAACUCUAGCCUACCUCCCCCUGCAGUUUCAUAUUAUGCAAAUGCUAGGUCAUUUCAGAAUUCCGUCUUUUUGCACAUUUGUUCUCUUUCCCUGGAAUGCAUUUCUUCCCCUGGUAAACUCCUGUCUUCCCCUGACUUGGCCCCAUGAUACACACAGCACUUCAUACAGAUAAAAAAUAUUUUGUCUAGUGAUAGUUGUACAACUGUGAAUAUAUUAAAAACCAUUGAAGUGUAUUUUAAGUGAGUAAAUUUUACGGUAUGUGAGUUAUAUCUGAAUUUUUAAACAUGGAGGAUGGAGGGAAGCCUUCCCUACUACAUGGUGGGUUUCUGGAGGAAUAAGAUCUUCUCAUUUUCCUGUUAGAAUUUCCUUUGGCCCGUAUGAAACCUGGUCCAUAAUAAAGGCUCGGGUAAUAUUGUUGAAUAAACAAUGACCAUCUGAGGUUUGCUCUAAGGGAUUAAACGAAGAUGUAUGUGAUGGUAUUUAUCUUGCACAAUCCCCUUGUUGAAUUCAUUUAUUCAUGGCACUGUGUAGUGCUAAGCACUGAGGAUACAGAAUAAAUAAACAUCAUCCUGAUCUCAAGGAAUUUAUGGUCAGUGGAGGAGGCAGAUAUAUAAACAGACCAUAGCAUGGCAUUAGAGGUGCCACAGUAGACUUUGUGAGCAUACAAGAUAGAGCAUCCCAUUCAGCCCAGUGUUGGGGAAGGGAACAUCAGGAAAGAAUUGAUUUUGGUUUUGAAGGAUAAUUAGGGAUUUACUAGAAUACAAGACGUAAGAGAGGAAAUACAUCCUAGGCAGAAAGAAUAGCAUAUGCAAAGGCACAGACACACAAAGUAUCUGUUCCACAUUUGAAAUCCAAUCCAAAUGUUAACUCAGAAAUGUUUGAGAACAAGACAGAAGAAAUAAUGCAAAACAAAAAAGAUUCUCAGAAUCAAAGACAUGGAUCUCCAGAUCAAAGAGUUUGCAGAAGGCCCAGCAAAAUGAAUGAUAGAAGAUCUAAAAAUCACAUCAUCAUGAAAUUCUGAACUCAAAUUAUAAAAGCAUCUGGACAAAAUAGGUCGCAUACAAAGGAGUUGGAACAGGAAUGAGAAUGUAUUUUCCUAAAACAGGAAACUAGGGAGUCAAUAGAGCAAUGCCUUUAAAACUGAGUGGAAAUUAUCUUCAAUCUAGAAUUCUAAACCUAGUGAGACCAUCAGUUUAAAAAGAUAUGCAAGAAUUCAGACAUGCCCGUUUUGGGGAAGCUACUGGGAGAUAAGUGCCAGCAAAACCAUGGAAGAAGAUUACAUGGGAUUUGGGAAAUAAGGAAUCCAACAUGGUAGACUCUGAAUUUAAAAAUCCAGAAUGCCUGCAAUGCAGCCAUCCCACGAGCAACCAGCACAGAUUGGAACAAGAGGAUAGAUGGCUCAGAAUGAGGUCUUCAAGGAACAACAACAAAAUGGAACUCAUUUCUGUGAGUGCAUAAUGAUUAUUUCUGAUAGGAUAGCAGACAUGUUGGAGCAUUUGGAAAAAAUUAAUCACAAGUAUAUGGAAAGCCAGACAAGUGGGAAAACAAGGAAAUCAUUAACUGAAGGAAAAAUACGUGGUCAUACAAGAAAGGAGCAAUGGUCAUAGGCUCAACAGUGAAAAUGUUUGUACAGUCAUAGUGUAAACACUGAUGUAUUAUCCAAGCUGCAUAAAGAGAUCUUAUAAAUCAAUUAGAAAAAGACAACCAUUGGAAAAACGAGCAAAGUGUAUGAAUGGGCUAAUUCACAGAAGAUGAAACUCAAGCUCAACUCAUGAGUAAUUGGGGAAAUUAAAACUAUUCACUGGCUGGGCAUGGUGGCUCAUGCCUGUAAUUCCAGCACUUUGGGAGCCUGAAGCAGGAGGGACUGCUCGAGGCCAGGAGUUCAAGACCAACCUGGUCAAUGAAGUAAGACCCAGUCUCUACAAAAAAAAAAAAAAUUAAAAAUUAGCAGAGUGUGGUAGUACAUACCUGUAGUCCUAGCCAUUCAGGAGGCUGAGGCAAGAGGAUUCCUUGAGUCCAAAAGGUUCAGGCUACAGUGAGCUAUGAUCAUGCCACUGCACUCCAGUUUAGGUGACAGAGCGAUACCCUGUCAUUUAUACAUACAUAUGUACAUAAAAUCAAAUUGACAAAAAUCUUAAAAUUCUGAUGGUUCAAGGGUCUUAGUGAGGGUAUGGAGCAUCAGAAACAGUCAUCCACUGCUGGCAAGAGUAUACACAGGUACAAUUACUCUGAAGAGUAAUUUGUCAGUAUCUAGCAAAGCUGAAGAUACAGGCCCUGAGUACGGCCUGGCAGUCUUUCUCCAAGAUGGUUAUUUCUUAUCUCACUUUCAGCUUCUAAUUGAUCAUCUCCACCCAGGGUCUCAGCUGAUAACCCUGCUUUCUAUUUCACUGAGAGACUAGAAGCAAGCAGAAAAGCACUUCAAAUAUUUGCCCACAUACUUGCAUCUGUGCCCAUAGACUCCAUAUUUCUUAAAUUAUAAUGGAUGACUAUGCAUGAUUUAGAAGAGAGGUAAAAACUGAUGACUCCAGAGAAAAUAAACAUCCACACCCUUUGUGGAAGAAACAUAUAUGACCAUUCAUUGUAGCACUGUGAUGGUGAAAAAUUUAAAUGUCCAUCAACAAUAAAACUGGUACAUUGUGGCAUAGCUAUAAAUUGACUACUAUAUAUUGAGUCAAAGGGGACACAUGUUUAUUCAUUUUCUCUGGAAUCAUUACUGUUUCCUCACUUCUGGAUGAAAUAAAAUAGGCAACGUGUCAACAUUAACCACCUAAACAAAAACAAACAUAUGCUAAGUGAAAAGUUAUAGAAGGAUGUUGGUUAUACGAAGUUUUCUUUCUUUCUUCCCUGCCCCCCAGACCCACCGGAGACAGGGUCUUGCUUUGUCACCCAGGCUGCAGGACAAUGGCAUGAUCUCAGCUCACUGCCACCCCUGCCUUCCAGGCUGAAAGAUUCCUCCCACCUCAGCCUACUGAGUAACUGGGACUACAGGUGUUCACCACCACAAUGGCUAAUUUUUUGUACUUUUGCAAGAGAUGGGAGUUUCGCCAUGUUCCCUAUGAUUGGUCUCGAAUGCCUGAGCCCAAGCUGUCCAUCCUCGUUGGCCUCCCGAAGUGCUGGGAUUAUAGGUGUGAGCCACUACAGCUGAUCUCUACAAAGUUUGAAAACAUGCAAAGCAAUUCUGUUGUUGAUAUGGACACAUUUGUGUGGCAUAAUUGUACAAAAACAUGCAUGGGAACAGCAAACUCUAAAUUGGGGAUAAUGAUUACCUUUAAGGAGGGAGAAAAGGGAAUAGGGGGAGGUGGAAGGGCACAGAUAGAAUUUCUGUUUUUUUAAUUUAAUUUUUUUUUUUACACGGAGUUUCACUCUUGUUGCCCAGGCUGGAGUGCAAUGGCGCAAUCUUGGCUCACCACAACCUCUGCCUCCUGGAUUCAAGUGAUUCUCCUGCCUCAGCCUCCCGAGUAACUGGGAUUGCAGGCAUGCACUACCAUGCCCGGCUAAU
RNAcentral lists this long non-coding RNA (6254 nucleotides) under Homo sapiens (human). Its description in RNAcentral is "HSALNT0065705". Lineage: Eukaryota; Metazoa; Chordata; Mammalia; Primates; Hominidae. The record is from RNAcentral.